AGUGCCCGGUUCCAGCCGAUGAAGGCUCUGCUCAAGCACGAAUGUGUGGGAUCCCAGUCCCCACCAGACAGAGCUCUGCAGGUGCCUGGGCUUGCUGUGGGCGGGCGCUAUACAGCGCACGCAGUGGUGGCCGCCGGGCUAACUCCAGAGUCCCAGGGGCUGCUGAAAAUGGAAGAUGUGGCUCUCACUGUGUCCCCUGGAUGGACAGAGCUGGAUUCAUCUCAGGUGAAAGUCAUACAGAGGUGAAAGGCAGGAGGACGGUGUUCCUCUGACCUCCCUGGGUGGUGAAAUGCAGAAUAAGAUCAGAGACUUGCCUCUAGAUGAGAAACAUCCAGAAGAGGAGCCUGGGCAGACCCUGCGCCACCUGUGUGAAG
This 374-nucleotide long non-coding RNA is filed under the name Rhinolophus ferrumequinum (greater horseshoe bat). RNAcentral describes it as "lncRNA (ENSRFEG00010000003.1)". The record is from RNAcentral. Lineage: Eukaryota; Metazoa; Chordata; Mammalia; Chiroptera; Rhinolophidae.